AUUGAACGCUGGCGGCAGGCCUAACACAUGCAAGUCGAGCGGAUGAAGGGAGCUUGCUCCUGCAUUCAGCGGCGGACGGGUGAGUAAUGCCUAGGAAUCUGCCUGGUAGUGGGGGAUAACGUCCGGAAACGGGCGCUAAUACCGCAUACGUCCUGAGGGAGAAAGUGGGGGAUCUUCGGACCUCACGCUAUCAGAUGAGCCUAGGUCGGAUUAGCUAGUUGGUGGGGUAAAGGCCUACCAAGGCGACGAUCCGUAACUGGUCUGAGAGGAUGAUCAGUCACACUGGAACUGAGACACGGUCCAGACUCCUACGGGAGGCAGCAGUGGGGAAUAUUGGACAAUGGGCGAAAGCCUGAUCCAGCCAUGCCGCGUGUGUGAAGAAGGUCUUCGGAUUGUAAAGCACUUUAAGUUGGGAGGAAGGGCAGUAAGUUAAUACCUUGCUGUUUUGACGUUACCAACAGAAUAAGCACCGGCUAACUUCGUG
RNAcentral lists this ribosomal RNA (484 nucleotides) under uncultured bacterium. RNAcentral describes it as "partial 16S ribosomal RNA". It matches the Rfam family "Bacterial small subunit ribosomal RNA", at positions 30 to 507 of the family's 1533-position model. The record is from RNAcentral.